AUCUAGGACACGGAUUCUCACGCAGCAAGCAGUGCAACUGUGAGUGGAGGUGAGGGCAGCCUGGCCCACAUAUGAAUGGUUUUGGAGAUGGU
Non-coding RNA from Ceratotherium simum simum (southern white rhinoceros), 92 nucleotides. Lineage: Eukaryota; Metazoa; Chordata; Mammalia; Perissodactyla; Rhinocerotidae. The record is from RefSeq and is a predicted model, not a curated record.